RNAcentral lists this long non-coding RNA (278 nucleotides) under Homo sapiens (human). RNAcentral's name for it is "HSALNT0023688". Lineage: Eukaryota; Metazoa; Chordata; Mammalia; Primates; Hominidae. The record is from RNAcentral.
GGGGAGACAGUCACCACCUUCAGGACCUGCACUCUGACUUGGAAAGCUCAAUGAACCAACUGGGCUAUUUCAACAUCUUCUAUAUUUUGUUUAUAACUCUGCCUCAUUCCAGGGUGGAUUUGAGGUGGUUUGGUUUGAUUCGUGAACAUUUCCCAUGCCAAUUAGAAGACAUUAUGUUAGGGGGGGUCCCCAAUUCAGCCUCAUCUCCCUCAUCAACUAGGAAAUGUUAUAGUAAUACCCAAAUAUACUUUCAUCUAUGUUUUGUAAUAGACCCCACU